This 253-nucleotide ribosomal RNA is filed under the name uncultured bacterium. RNAcentral's name for it is "partial 16S ribosomal RNA". It matches the Rfam family "Bacterial small subunit ribosomal RNA", at positions 524 to 776 of the family's 1533-position model. The record is from RNAcentral.
UACAGAGGGUGCGAACGUUGUUCGGAAUUACUGGGCAUAAAGCGCGCGUAGGCGGUUUCGUAAGCGCGGUGUGAAAUCCCACGGCUCACCCGUGGAAUGGCGCCGUGAACUGCGAGACUCGAGGAUGGUAGAGGAGGGCGGAACUCCUGGUGGAGCGGUGAAAUGCGUAGAUAUCAGGAGGAACACCGGUGGCGAAGGCGGCCCUCUGGUCCAUUACUGACGCUGAGGCGCGAAAGCUAGGGUAGCGAACGGG